AUGCCCAAUGCCACCGGAACGCUCUGCCCACUCGGUGGCCCCACCCAUCGCCGCCCCGCCCCCGCUUCAACCACCAAUGGUCGCCGCCCGCUGCUCCCGAGGGGCUCGUUGAUUGGACAGUGGAGCCUGCCACUCUCGCGGGGCCUCCCGCCCUCCCUCACUCCCCGCUGGGGCUGGAGGGGCUGGAGCAUCAGCGCGAGUAGCUCGGAGCAGCCGCGGCAGCGGCGGCGCGUCGUUGCAGUUGCGCCAUCUGUCAGGAGCGGAGCCGGCGGGGAGGGGGCUGCCGCGGGAGAGGAGGAGGGGUCGCCGCGAGCCGAAGGCCGCCGAGACCCGCCCGCCAACCGGCCGAGGGAGCAGAAGAGAGGCUGCCCUCGGAGCCGCGCGUCCAUCACCGCCCGGGCGCGCGGCGCUUCACCCCGCGCACCGAGGGCUCCCCAGGCGCACACAAAGCCGCCGCCCGCGCCUGGGAGGGAUCCAGUCGCCGGGCCGGGGACACCCGGCGCCGCCCCCUGGGCACUCUCAGAAGGCCCACCGGCUCCCGGGCCCGCCGAGCAACCACCGGAGCCGCUUCGGCCGCGCCGGAGGAGGCGGGGAGUGGACCAUGUGAAUGGGCUCCGGAGCCUGAGCGCAGCGCAGGACCAGUCCAGCAGCUGUAUUAGAAGACAUGUGGUAUAUAUAAAGUUUGUGAUCGUUGGGGGAAAUUUUGUGGUAACAAGAACCUUGUGA
Molecule: long non-coding RNA, 726 nt
Filed under: Capra hircus (goat)
Lineage: Eukaryota; Metazoa; Chordata; Mammalia; Artiodactyla; Bovidae
Description: lncRNA (ENSCHIG00010018178.1)
Source: RNAcentral